Molecule: non-coding RNA, 912 nt
Organism: Manis javanica (Malayan pangolin)
Lineage: Eukaryota; Metazoa; Chordata; Mammalia; Pholidota; Manidae
Source: RefSeq, a predicted model, not a curated record
ACCAGCAACUUAAGACACAUCAGCAGUCACCUGGGGCUGGGGAAGGGGGGAUAUAUAGGGAAGUACAGGAAUAAAGUAUUUUUAAAGGACAAAAGGAUACACCAAGGUAAUGUUCAGUAUAUUGAUAUGGUGGUUUCAAAACAUUUCAAAUUGUACACUUUAAAUGUCUACUGUUAUGUAUCAGUGAUGCCUCAAUAAAGCUAAUACCACCACACUGCAUGUAAGGUAUGUUGCUUUAAAUUUGCCCAAGGCCCUAACUUCCCAUGAUCCAGAAUUCCUGGGUUUGGCUUUUGAACAUUCCCAGUUCUCAAUCAGUUAUGAGCUUAUAGCUUGGGCAUGUUUCUAUAGUAGCCUGCAGGUUAAAAAAUUGAGUGCCUUAGUUUCUGCUUAACAAGUCUUCCUUUUCCAGGUGCUACACCUCCCUGGAUGGUCCAAGAAGAGGAAUACAGUUCUGGGAACCAACAAAUAGGACCCUCCUAUGAAGAAUUUCUUAAAGAAAGUACGUAAACUAAUUCAGGUGUGGUAGUAAAUUAUUUAAAUAUUCCCACUUAAAUAAAACUGUUGAUAAUUGCAGAGGAAAAACAGAAAUUGAAGAAACUCCCCCCUGACAGAGUUGGGGCCAACUUUGAUCACAGCUGCAGCACCAGUGUAGGCUGGCUACCCUCUUUUGGCCGGGUCUGGAAUAAUGGACGCCGCUGGCAAUCCAGGCAUCAAUUCAAAACUGAAGCUGCAGCAAGGAACAAACAGCAGUCACGUGAGGGAAAAAAUCCUAUGGUUUCUUGAUAAUUUUCCAACGACCACACAGCUCAAAACCAAGUCAAUAAACCCGUAUCUGCUUUUAUCCUCUGUAAUUGCCUUUCUAAGGAAACAGACAUACCACUUACUUGAUUUAAUAAAGUUUUAUUUUUCGAA